GGGGCUGACCUGGUUUCGACAGGGUAUAGGUGCCUGAAUUGCGAGUCGUGUGUUAUGUAUCACACGUUAAUCAAUGCAUAGAAAAAAUAAUCGCUAACGACGAAAACUUCGCUAUCGCCGCCUAAUAAGCGGUAGAUAGCCUCCGCACUCAGGGCUGCUCAGGGCCUGGAGAUUUGGCGGGGUCAAGCAACCUGAGAUCGCGCAGCGGCUUCUGUCAGCAGCUUAAGCGUUAAACGUAACCUGACUCGCCAGCGGAGUGAUGUGCUCAUCCAUCUAUCGCCAGGUUAAAUUGAUGAUGAAGAUAUGCUCGUAGACGUUCAUCGUACUGGUAGUCUGGACGCGGGUUCGAUUCCCGCCAGCUCCACCA
Molecule: transfer-messenger RNA, 367 nt
Filed under: compost metagenome
Description: transfer-messenger RNA, SsrA
Rfam family: transfer-messenger RNA
About the family: Bacterial tmRNA, also known as 10Sa RNA or SsrA, is named for its dual tRNA and mRNA-like properties. Its role is to liberate the mRNA from a stalled ribosome.
Source: RNAcentral